AUGUGGGAGACAUCAAUGAAAGGUCUUCAAAGCUUGGUCCGGAGGACGACCCCUUCGUCUUUUGCGUAUCUUGGUGAGAAGAUGGGAAGUUCUGUAAAUGACAAGAUGGAUGAACUUGCAUGCUUUGCUCCUGGAAUGUUAGCUUUAGGAUCAUCUGGUUAUAGCCCUGAUGAGGCUCAGAAGUUCUUAUCACUGGCUGAGGAGCUUGCUUGGACUUGCUAUAACUUUUACCAGUCAACACCUACAAAAUUGGCAGGAGAGAACUAUUUUUUUAAUGACGGCCAAGAUAUGAGUGUGGGCACAUCAUGGAACAUAUUAAGGCCAGAGACAGUUGAGUCACUGUUUUACCUCUGGCGUUUAACAGGAAACAAGACAUACCAAGAGUGGGGU
RNAcentral lists this unclassified non-coding RNA (390 nucleotides) under Hevea brasiliensis (rubber tree). The record is from RNAcentral. Lineage: Eukaryota; Viridiplantae; Streptophyta; Magnoliopsida; Malpighiales; Euphorbiaceae.